AGAGUUUGAUCAUGGCUCAGGAUGAACCUAGCGGCAGGCUUAACACAUGCAAGUCGAGGGGUAUAGUUCUUCGGAACUAGAGACCGGCGCACGGGUGCGUAACGCGUAUGCAAUCUACCUUUUACAGAGGGAUAGCCCAGAGAAAUUUGGAUUAAUACCUCAUAGCAUAGCAACUUCGCAUGAAGUCACUAUUAAAGUCACAACGGUAAAAGAUGAGCAUGCGUCCCAUUAGCUAGUUGGUAAGGUAACGGCUUACCAAGGCUACGAUGGGUAGGGGUCCUGAGAGGGAGAUCCCCCACACUGGUACUGAGACACGGACCAGACUCCUACGGGAGGCAGCAGUGAGGAAUAUUGGACAAUGGGCGCAAGCCUGAUCCAGCCAUGCCGCGUGCAGGAUGACGGUCCUAUGGAUUGUAAACUGCUUUUAUACGAGAAGAAACACUGCUUCGUGAAGCAGCUUGACGGUAUCGUAAGAAUAAGGAUCGGCUAACUCCGUGCCAGCAGCCGCGGUAAUACGGAGGAUCCAAGCGUUAUCCGGAAUCAUUGGGUUUAAAGGGUCCGUAGGCGGUUUAAUAAGUCAGUGGCGAAAGCCCAUCGCUCAACGGUGGAACGGCCAUUGAUACUGUUAAACUUGAAUUAUUAGGAAGUAACUAGAAUAUGUAGUGUAGCGGUGAAAUGCUUAGAGAUUACAUGGAAUACCAAUUGCGAAGGCAGGUUACUACUAAUGGAUUGACGCUGAUGGACGAAAGCGUGGGUAGCGAACAGGAUUAGAUACCCUAGUAGUCC
RNAcentral lists this ribosomal RNA (786 nucleotides) under uncultured bacterium. RNAcentral describes it as "bacterial SSU rRNA". It matches the Rfam family "Bacterial small subunit ribosomal RNA", at positions 8 to 796 of the family's 1533-position model. The record is from RNAcentral.